GAAAAGCAGAGGGUUUGUUAAACAGAUGAUAGUAUAAAAAAUAAAAUUAGGUAAUCAGUCAGUUAAAAUGAAACAAUAAUUAAAUUAAUGAUUAAAUUUCAUUUAAACAGAUCUGGUUAAAUAAAAACCAAAUUAAAUGAGCAUAAGAGAUACUUAAAAGAGGAUACUAAAACAAGGGGGGAACAAAAGGAUUAAAAGAGAAAGGGGUAGGGAAGAUAAGAGAGGAGACAACAGCACACUAGGUUAGCUUAAAAUACUUAGCAAGCACUUACAGUGCAGUAGAAAACAAUAAGGCUCCGUGAUAAUCCUGUAUUACCAAAACAGGGGGACACGUGUGUAAAAAAAAUCAGGAUUCAAAAAUAUCCUUGCAGGGCAAUCAUAAAUAGAAAAUAAAAGAUAUAAAAUAAAUAAAUAAUAAAAAGUCCUUCAGGGUGGGGAAUCCAUCCAAACAGGGGAUGAGUUUUGUUUAAAAUAGUUGAGGUUUGUGUCGAUGCUUGGAUUAGCUGGGGAGAGUUGUGUAGAGUCUUCAAACGUGAUGUUGUAUAAUCUUCUGUGUGCGCACACUCUUUUUCCUGUAGGUUAGUAGACAACACUCACCCAUUUGCUGAUCCAGGCCUGAGACCAGAUCCAGUAGGCCUCAAGCCUCAGUCCUCUGGUUAGACCCUGUUUGUUGAGAAAACCUGUCUGAAGUUAGUCUCUCUCAGAGGAUUAAAGGAAAGAAGGUCCCAACGUUUCGCCUGGAAGGCUUCUUCAGGGGAGCAAGAAGAGAGUGAAGGAUCCAGGCCUCUAUAUUCAUAUAGAUCAAGUCCAUGAGGGUGGAUCCUAGAAAUAAAAGGUUCCAUAUUGGCUCAUGGAGAAAAAGCAGAUUGAUAAAUGGUCCGGAGCUGGUUCAGUGAGAGGAGAGUACAAGUUUUGAAAGGAUAUGAAGGUAAGUAAAGGGAGGGGACAAGGAGGGGUGAGGAAAACACAGCCUAUUAGGACAGGGAGUAUUAUUUGUGAAAAUGUUGAAUUUUUAUAUAUCCCUGAUAUUUUUUUUUCAAUCACAUCAAUAGGUUGUGUUAGGGAUCCUCAACUCUGGAGAUCCUGUUGGACCUGGAUUGGGGGCUCUUCCUCCUGAAAACCGGGAGGGGGGGGGUUUAUAGCUUUACUAGUUAGAGUUGGGUCCUCCAACAUAGUAAUAGGAUUAGGU
Molecule: long non-coding RNA, 1189 nt
Organism: Lates calcarifer (barramundi perch)
Lineage: Eukaryota; Metazoa; Chordata; Actinopteri; Centropomidae
Exons: 4
Source: RefSeq, a predicted model, not a curated record